AUGAAUAGACCGUAGGGGGGAUAAGUGGCAAUAGAACACAGCCAGGAACUCUUCUGCGCGAGUCAGCGUGAUGUGCGUGCGCGGGCUCAUCAUUUGAAUUAAAUAACGGACACAAGCAACGGGCGGAACGGUAAUCAAAGGUAAGUAAGUUACGAUAUUCGACGUUUCACAUGUUUUAUUUGUCGUUUUACUUAUAAUUUAUGUUGAAUUGAACUUUAGAUGUGUAACGUUUUACAUUAUAAUAAUUUUUAAAUGAACACUUAACCACUUUAUACGUUUUUAUGUCGCCCUGUAGUGACGAGGUCAUUGACAGCAGCUAAUGAAUAAUAGCUGUUUUGGUUAUUUAUUUGGCGAUUUCAGCAAAAUUACUUAAUUUUAUGUCUUCAUUGCUUUCUAACCUGUGUAAAAAUAUAAGAUGAUCUGUUAAAUCGACUUGGAAUGAGCAUAAAAUAUUGCUCCGGCUAUAACGUUAAAGGCUAACUUAACGUUAUAAGAAUUAAGCACUUCGCAAAUAGCAUUAAUGGUGCUUAUCAUCGAGCUAACAUUUUUUAACAUGUAAUAAUCCUAACAAAGUGAAUCGCUGUCGGUUCACGGUUUUGUUGCUCUGUUUGUAAAUUUAGUGAUGGUCUCCUCGCCAGAGAAGCUAGCAGCAUUCAAUGGGGAAGCUUUGCUAUUUCUUUCGCUGGAAUCUCCAAUUGAAAACAUCAUCGUGUGCGCUUAGACUUCUGUUCCAGUUCUGACUACACCACACUCUGCUUAUGUGGAUCACUGACUACUAUGUUCUCUGAAGUGGGGGAAACCGGAGCACCUGGAGGAAACCCACGCAAACUCCACACAGAGACGCCAACUGACCCAGCCAAGGCUCGAACCAACGACCUUCUUGCUGUGAGGCGCCACUGCAGCGCAGAAUCUGAAGCAGGUGCAGCCAAACUGCGACACAACAGCCACCGAAUUUACAGGGCCUUGAGAGAUCACCUGUACGGUCUGGCGGUGGC
Molecule: non-coding RNA, 995 nt
Organism: Danio rerio (zebrafish)
Lineage: Eukaryota; Metazoa; Chordata; Actinopteri; Cypriniformes; Danionidae
Source: RefSeq, a predicted model, not a curated record